CGAGCUCAUCAAGAUCGGCGAGGAUGGCGUGUACGCGCUUCGGAACCUCGGCAACAACUACUUCUGCCACCGGCUGACCUACGAGGGCAAGGAGGACUGCCUGAACGCCAUGAUUCCGACCAUCAGGAAGGAGGCGUACCUCAAGAUUGAAGAAGCCGUCCUCUCCCGGAAGAUCUCCAACAUCGAGUACCACCUCAAGGGCGCCAAGAUUUUCGACAAGAAGGCUAAGACCCUCAUCACUCGAGAGGCGGUGAACGGCACCAGCACGGAUAGCAAGACCACCAUCACCCUCAAGUACAGCGUCAUCAAGGGCAAGCUAUGGGAUUCCAGCAAGUCCAUGAAGCUGGGGGUCACCACCACCAUUGAAGCUGGGGUUCCUGUGGUCUUACCCGCAACCAUUGAGGUCCAGAGCGAGUUCAACUCCACCUACAGCUGGGGCGAGUCCAUCAUCGAGAAAGAAGAGUACUCCAACGCCUACGAGGUCGUUGUGCCUGCAUACUCCGUCGUCACGGUCAGCGUGCUCGCUACAC
Molecule: long non-coding RNA, 530 nt
Filed under: Zea mays
Lineage: Eukaryota; Viridiplantae; Streptophyta; Magnoliopsida; Poales; Poaceae
Description: long non-coding RNA (ZMAY_LNC000975)
Source: RNAcentral